This 481-nucleotide ribosomal RNA is filed under the name uncultured bacterium. RNAcentral describes it as "partial 16S ribosomal RNA". It matches the Rfam family "Bacterial small subunit ribosomal RNA", at positions 28 to 523 of the family's 1533-position model. The record is from RNAcentral.
GACGAACGCUGGCGGCGUGCUUAACACAUGCAAGUCGAACGCUGAAGCCCUUUCGGGGGUGGAUGAGUGGCGAACGGGUGAGUAACACGUGGGUAAUCUGCCCUGCACUAUGGGAUAAGCCUUGGAAACGGGGUCUAAUACCGGAUAGGACACAUCGCCGCAUGGUGUGUGUGUGGAAAGUUCCGGCGGUGCAGGUUGAGCCCGCGGCCUAUCAGCUUGUUGGUGGGGUGACGGCCUACCAAGGCGACGACGGGUAGCCGGCCUGGGAGGGUGACCGGCCACACUGGGACAGAGACACGGCCCAGAGUCCGACGGGAGGCAGCAGUGGGGAAUCGUGCGCAAUGGGCGAAAGCCUGACGCAGCAACGCCGCGUGGGGGAUGACGGCCUUCGGGUUGUAAACCUCUUUCGACCGGGACGAAGGGUGACUGACGGUACCGGUAGAAGAAGCACCGGCUAACUACGUGCCAGCCGCCGCCGUAA